RNAcentral lists this ribosomal RNA (243 nucleotides) under uncultured bacterium. RNAcentral's name for it is "partial 16S ribosomal RNA". It matches the Rfam family "Bacterial small subunit ribosomal RNA", at positions 111 to 354 of the family's 1533-position model. The record is from RNAcentral.
UAACACGUGGAUAACCUGCCUUAUACUGGGGGAUAACAGCCAGAAAUGGCUGCUAAUACCGCAUAAGCGCACGGCGCCGCAUGGCGCAGUGUGAAAAACUCCGGUGGUAUAAGAUGGAUCCGCGCCUGAUUAGCUAGUUGGCGGGGCAGCGGCCCACCAAGGCGACGAUCAGUAGCCGGCCUGAGAGGGCGACCGGCCACAUUGGGACUGAGACACGGCCCAAACUCCUACGGGAGGCAGCAG